GGCCGCGGAAUUGCGAUUCAGGCCGAACACAUGCAAGUCGAGCGGUAGAGAGAAGCUUGCUUCUCUUGAGAGCGGCGGACGGGUGAGUAAUGCCUAGGAAUCUGCCUGGUAGUGGGGGAUAACGGCGGGAAACGGAGGCUAAGACCGCAUACGUCCUACGGGAGAAAGCAAGGGACCUUCGGGCCUUGCGCUAUCAGAUGAGCCUAGGUCGGAUUAGCUAGUUGGUGGGGUAAUGGCUCACCAAGGCGACGAUCCGUAACUGGUCUGAGAGGGAUGAUCAGUCACACUGGAACUGAGACACGGUCCAGGCUCCUACGGGAGGCAGCAGUGGGGAAUAUUGGACAAUGGGCGAAAGCCUGAUCC
RNAcentral lists this ribosomal RNA (363 nucleotides) under uncultured bacterium. Its description in RNAcentral is "bacterial SSU rRNA". It matches the Rfam family "Bacterial small subunit ribosomal RNA", at positions 43 to 389 of the family's 1533-position model. The record is from RNAcentral.